AGAAUCAACGCUGGCGGUGUGCCUAACACAUGCAAGUCGAACGAGAAAGUGGAGCAAUCCAUGAGUAAAGUGGCGCACGGGUGAGUAACACGUGACUAACCUACCCUUGAGUGGGGGAUAACCUAGAGAAAUCUGGGCUAAUACCGCAUAAUACCUUCGGGUCAAAGGAGCAAUUCGCUUAAGGAGGGGGUCGCGGCCGAUUAGUUAGUUGGCGGGGUAAUGGCCCACCAAGACUGUGAUCGGUA
This 245-nucleotide ribosomal RNA is filed under the name uncultured bacterium. Its description in RNAcentral is "partial small subunit ribosomal RNA". It matches the Rfam family "Bacterial small subunit ribosomal RNA", at positions 26 to 285 of the family's 1533-position model. The record is from RNAcentral.